CACGUAGGGGGCAAGCGUUGUCCGGAUUUAUUGGGCGUAAAGAGCUCGUAGGCGGUUCGGUAAGUCGGGUGUCAAACCUCCAGGCUCAACCUGGAGACGCCACCCGAUACUGCUGUGACUAGAGUCCGGUAGGGGAGCGUGGAAUUCCUGGUGUAGCGGUGAAAUGCGCAGAUAUCAGGAGGAACACCAGCGGCGAAGGCGGCGCUCUGGGCCGGAACUGACGCUGAGGAGCGAAAGCGUGGGGAGCAAACAGG
RNAcentral lists this ribosomal RNA (254 nucleotides) under uncultured bacterium. RNAcentral describes it as "partial 16S ribosomal RNA". It matches the Rfam family "Bacterial small subunit ribosomal RNA", at positions 524 to 776 of the family's 1533-position model. The record is from RNAcentral.